This is a long non-coding RNA of Triticum dicoccoides, 855 nucleotides long. RefSeq lists it as uncharacterized. The transcript is spliced from 3 exons. The record is from RefSeq and is a predicted model, not a curated record. Lineage: Eukaryota; Viridiplantae; Streptophyta; Magnoliopsida; Poales; Poaceae.
GCCAGGUUUGUGGCGGAGGAGCACCUCCUUUAACGAUUCAAAACAGGGUCGUGGCUCAUGGCGUCAUUCCCGUCCUGAUCCGUGGAUCAGGUUUAGGGCCUCAGUAGCCGAGUAAAUGGAGGGAUGGGUUGCUGGGCAGAGUUCUCUCUCCUACCUCUGGCUCCUGGGUUUUCCUAUUAUCGAGUGAGGCUAGAUGGGCGGAGGAGCUUCUAUUCGAAGGAAACAAAGGAUAGCGCAGAAGAUGGAAUUUCUGAUGCAAUCGAUUAAAAGAACCACCGUGCUGGAGGACGUUAAUGAUGGCAAAGUACUCAUGGAGCCACUACACUGCUAGUGGUCCAACCGUUGCAGAUCCGCUGCCGCCCAUGGCGGCAGUGAGUGCGGAAGGCCAGAUCUGUGCGGCUGAUGGCGUGGUCGAUACUAAAAUUGAUGGUUAACUGCAAGCAUCCGAUCAGUCGAUUACUCGAUUUGUUAGAUCGACCCAAAAGCCCCAGCAUGGACUCGAAGCUGAUGGCAUAUCUGGUCUUGCGUGCACAGUGAGGAUCGGUGCUGCCGCACCAGGAAGGCCACCUUGUCCUAACCGCAGAUAGUGCACUGGAGAAGGCAAUUCAUGGUUUUGCGGAAAAUCUAGGAGAUGAUGUGAUUGUCCCUGCACUAGGAACAAGCUUUGAUUGUUUGAGUGAAGCCUUCGACUAUUGCCAUUGGACUUCGAUUCUUUUGGGUGAAGCAUAUGACUUUUACAAGCUUCGAUUCUUUGACAAAUCUAUAUUUUAGUAAUCCUCCUUAUUUUCUGAAACUGAUGUAUAGUGGUAUGAUGUACAUUGAAAUGGAUUUCUAAAGUGACAGUAAAUUAGACAA